CUGUCCUCAGAUCUCGAGGGGCACCCACCGUCCCAGCAGCAUUUUCUUCCUUGUCCACAGCGUGGCUCAGAGCAGCCUGUGGAGCCCCUCUCUGCCCAGAUGUGGCCUUUGGGGCCCCCAGAUGGACGGUGAAUUAACUAAGGCCACCCAGGGGCGCCGAGUCCUUUGCGGAGGCUGAGCAAGGCCUCGGAGCUGCUGUAGGGACAUCAAUCUGUAUUUUCUGUGGGGAGAACGGCCAGGAAGAAAGGCACACUUGCCACUUAAUGUAACUAAAUGUCAUCGCCCGCCCCCGUGUUGCCGCUCAACAGAGAGCAACGGGUGGGGGUGGGGAGCGACCGCCCCGUCACCUGACUCAUGACCCUCGCCUCCUGUUUAUCAUAAACCCAUCCUCAGCUCCACAGAGUGCGCUAAUUGGGGUGGCUGGUGACGUAGGCCUGUGAUUUAGGAGCUGACACUUCUGUCCAGGGGCGGCUCGGCCUGGGUCCUGCAGGGGGAUGGAGAGGCCACGGCGGGUUCCCACGUGGUUCCACUUGGAGGCCCCUCCUCGGGAAUCGAGCCUGUGGCUCUGGGUGGUCUGGGUGCAUGGGGGCACUCGUAGGUGGUGGCCUAGAGAUGGACAGCGUUCUCCGCGACUCCCCUCCAGGGCACUGGCUGCUUCCUGGGUGACUACCAUCCAGGAAGUCCCGGGGGAGGGGGUCGUGGACAGUACAGGUGGGCCCUGCCUGCAGACCCUCCCAGCCUCACCACGGGACCCUCCUAUUCCUGGGUGGAAGGCAGGUGCAGGGGGCGUCUGCAGCCCCCACCUGGCCCUCCUGUGGGCACCUUAGUGAUAGGCUUCCUCACUCUCAACAGGCAGGCAGAAGUCAGACGGCCACAAGGACAGGUCAUUUGGGGACCAGUGGCCUGGACAGACAGAUUGAAAGUAGGUGUGGCUUUGGGAACAAAAAGAAGCAAAAGUCUGGUCAUCGAGGGGCGGUUGCUGACCCAGGCGCCCGAGCCGUCCCCCACCAGCGGAGAGCGGAGAGCGUGCUCAGAGAAGGGCCCCCUCGCCCGCUUCCCCGCCUCCGGCUCCUGCCUGGCUCUCCUUCCUUUCUGUGGCUCUUUUUAUUAAUUUGAAAGGUAAAAAGCCAAAGCUCUAUGGAAUCCCACCUUCUCCCCACCCCCUAUAGUUUAUUAAAAAACCCAAUGCCUAGCAAAUCACUUUGAUGAGCAACUAAGUGCCCUCCUGUGAGCCUGUGGCGGCUCAGCUGACAGACGGCGGGGGCUGGGCAGCCCCUGUUCCCCCUGCCCCAGGCCCAGCUCCGUCCGCGACGGCUGCCCACUCCCGUGGACGAGGUGGUGUCUCCAUUUGUCAGUCUCGGGAGGAAUGAUGGUUUAUGUUCCAGCACUGAGUGUUUUUAUUUGCCAAUAUCUUCUCCUCUCCAUGAGAACCGUUGGUUCAUAACUUCUGUUAUUGCACAAUAUUAUUUACCGACCUCGGCGUAAGGGACGCCAGCUGGGGGAAUAUUUGUUUGCACGGCCCCCACCCCCAUCUCUAAAUAGAGUUUCCUGGGGAUUCUGAAGGGCAGCAUCCAUCAGGCUUCGCCGUGGCGAGCGGGGGAAGCCGGUCUCGGUCCUGUUUUCUGAGCAUUCACUCUCCAUUGUGUCCACUGUGUUGUCCUGAGGAUGAAGAGCUCUUAUCCCACUGUCCAGUGCCCCCACCAAGGACCUGCCUGAGUUACCAAGCAGCUGGCUCCCGAGAGGCCUGCUGUGCUGCCCCCGCUGCCCCCUUCCACCAGCUUCAUUUCCUGCUGCCCUGUAGGUGUCCAGUUCUGCCAGAGGUGGUGGACCGUCCAGUCAGUGUUGACAUCGCGGGCUCCUCCUCUGGAGGAUGAGGUCACCCAGGUACCAAGAGCAUCCUUUUCUUUAAAAAGCUGAACACCAAAGCUCAUAUCUAACUCUAUUCUCCCUGAAGUUGAAUUUAUUGAUACAAGUGGUCUUACAAGAGUCCAAAUUUAAGCCAUCCUCGUGACGGAUCCUUUAUUUAAAAGAAUAAAG
This 2037-nucleotide long non-coding RNA is filed under the name Marmota monax (woodchuck). Lineage: Eukaryota; Metazoa; Chordata; Mammalia; Rodentia; Sciuridae. The record is from RNAcentral.